GGUUUUUAGAAAUUAUUAAAAAUCAAGCCUGCUCAAUGCUUAGUAAAUAGCCGCGGUAUCCUGACCGUGCAAAGGUAGCAUAAUCAUUAGCCUUAUAAUUGAAGGCUGGAAUGAAUGGUUUAACUAAAUUAAUUUGUCUUAUGAUAAUAUUUUAAAUUUUAUAUUUUGGUAAAAAAGCUAAAAUAUCAAUUAGGGACAAGAAGACCCUAUUGAGCUUUACAAUAAAUACUAAACAAAUAUUUGUUUAGUAUUUAUUGUUUUGCUGGGGCAGUAAGAAAUCUAAUACUUCUUUAACAUUAUGAAUUAUAAUUCUUGUAAAAUCAAAAACUUUUUAAUAAAAAAUAAGUUACCGUAGGGAUAACAGCGUAAUUUUUCUUUAGAGAACAUAUCAACAGAAAAGCUUGCGACCUCGAUGUUGGAUUAAGAAUCCUAUUUCACGCAGCUAUGAAAAAAGGAAGUCUGUUCGACUUUUAAAUUCUUCCA
RNAcentral lists this ribosomal RNA (483 nucleotides) under Diplocentrus melici. RNAcentral describes it as "partial 16S ribosomal RNA". It matches the Rfam family "Archaeal large subunit ribosomal RNA", at positions 1920 to 2669 of the family's 2987-position model. Lineage: Eukaryota; Metazoa; Arthropoda; Arachnida; Scorpiones; Diplocentridae. The record is from RNAcentral.